Molecule: ribosomal RNA, 1443 nt
Filed under: metagenome
Description: bacterial SSU rRNA
Rfam family: Bacterial small subunit ribosomal RNA
Source: RNAcentral
AGAGUUUGAUCCUGGCUCAGGAUGAACGCUGGCGGCGUGCUUAACACAUGCAAGUCGAACGCACCUUCGGGUGAGUGGCGGACGGGUGAGUAACGCGUGGGAAUCUGCCCUUAGGAGGGGGAUAACGGCUGGAAAUGGCCGCUAAUACCCCAUAUGCCGAGAGGUGAAACGAAUUUCGCCUGAGGAUGAGCCCGCGUCUGAUUAGCUAGUUGGUGGGGUAAGAGCCCACCAAGGCGACGAUCAGUAGCUGGUCUGAGAGGAUGAUCAGCCACACUGGGACUGAGACACGGCCCAGACUCCUACGGGAGGCAGCAGUGGGGAAUUUUCCGCAAUGGGCGAAAGCCUGACGGAGCAACGCCGCGUGAGGGAUGAAGGCCUCUGGGCUGUAAACCUCUUUUCUCAAGGAAGAAGACAUGACGGUACUUGAGGAAUAAGCCACGGCUAAUUCCGUGCCAGCAGCCGCGGUAAUACGGGAGUGGCAAGCGUUAUCCGGAAUUAUUGGGCGUAAAGCGUCCGCAGGCGGCUCUGUAAGUCUGUUGUUAAAGCGUGGAGCUCAACUCCAUUUCAGCAAUGGAAACUACAGGGCUUGAGUGUGGUAGGGGCAGAGGGAAUUCCCGGUGUAGCGGUGAAGUGCGUAGAUAUCGGGAAGAACACCAGUGGCGAAGGCGCUCUGCUGGGCCAUAACUGACGCUCAUGGACGAAAGCCAGGGGAGCGAAAGGGAUUAGAUACCCCUGUAGUCCUGGCCGUAAACGAUGAACACUAGGUGUCGGGGGAAUCGACCCCCUCGGUGUCGUAGCCAACGCGUUAAGUGUUCCGCCUGUGGAGUACGCACGCAAGUGUGAAACUCAAAGGAAUUGACGGGGGCCCGCACAAGCGGUGGAGUAUGUGGUUUAAUUCGAUGCAACGCGAAGAACCUUACCAGGGUUUGACAUCCUGCGAAUCCCUUGGAAACUUGGGAGUGCCUUCGGGAGCGCAGAGACAGGUGGUGCAUGGCUGUCGUCAGCUCGUGUCGUGAGAUGUUGGGUUAAGUCCCGCAACGAGCGCAACCCACGUCUUUAGUUGCCAGCAUUCAGUUGGGCACUCUAGAGAGACCGCCGGUGAUAAACCGGAGGAAGGUGUGGAUGACGUCAAGUCAUCAUGCCCCUUACAUCCUGGGCUACACACGUACUACAAUGCUACGGACAGAGGGCAGCAAGCUCGCGAGAGUUAGCAAAUCCCAUAAACCGUGGCUCAGUUCAGAUCGUAGGCUGCAACUCGCCUACGUGAAGGAGGAAUCGCUAGUAAUCGCAGGUCAGCAUACUGCGGUGAAUACGUUCCCGGGCCUUGUACACACCGCCCGUCACACCAUGGAAGUUGGCCAUGCCCGAAGUCGUUACUCCAACCCUUGUGGAGGAGGACGCCGAAGGUGGGGCUGAUGACUGGGGUGAAGUCGUAACAAGGUA